This 301-nucleotide ribosomal RNA is filed under the name uncultured bacterium. RNAcentral describes it as "partial 16S ribosomal RNA". It matches the Rfam family "Bacterial small subunit ribosomal RNA", at positions 509 to 808 of the family's 1533-position model. The record is from RNAcentral.
CAGUCGCCACGGUAAAACGUAGGUGGCAAGCGUUGUCCGGAAUUAUUGGGCGUAAAGCGCGCGCAGGCGGCCUAUCCAGUCUGUCUUAAAAGUUCGGGGCUCAACCCCGUGAUGGGAUGGAAACUAGUAGGCUAGAGUAUCGGAGAGGAAAGCGGAAUUCCUAGUGUAGCGGUGAAAUGCGUUGGGAUCGGAAAGAACACCAACGGCGAAAGCACUCUGCUGGGCCGACACUGACACUGAGAGACGAAAGCUAGGGGAGCAAAUGGGAUUAGAUACCCCUGUAGUCCCUGUCUCUUAUACA